Molecule: long non-coding RNA, 1174 nt
Organism: Zingiber officinale
Lineage: Eukaryota; Viridiplantae; Streptophyta; Magnoliopsida; Zingiberales; Zingiberaceae
Exons: 3
Source: RefSeq, a predicted model, not a curated record
UCAACGAACUGGUGGGAGGCGACUCCGGCCUCCGCUCCCUCCCUCCCUUCUUCCUCCACGACCUCAACACUAUCCAUAGCUCCAAUCGUCUUUUUGUAAUAGAAACUUCUCGAUAUCUCUCAAAUCCCUUCCGCCUGCGCAUUUUUUGUCGCAUUCCCAUUCCCACAGCCACGACCAUCUCCCCCUCUCCCAGCCUCCAUCGUUUUCCUCUCAUCGUGCUUCAAAAGAUGGCCAAUCUGACCCCAGCUAUGGUCCGACCCCAACCUCUUCUCUCACCUCCUGAACGCCUGCUGCCUACUCCCUUCGCCGCACUCCCUCCGUCUAGGCCGUCAGCUCCACACAAUCAUAGCCAUCGUCGGCGCUGCCUCUUUCCACCGCUUCACUGGAAACCACCUUUUCCACAUGUACCUCAAACUUGGCCGGGUCCCCGCCGCCCGCGCCGUGUUUGACGCAAUGGCAUGUCGAAACGUGAUGUCCUUCAACAUCCUCAUCGGCGGCCUCAUCCACAACGGGGACAUCAACGCUGCCCACAAGCUGUUGGAUGAAAUGCCAGAGAGGAACCUCGCCACCUGGAACGCCAUGAUUGCCGGGCUGGCUCACUUCGAGCUCGACGAGGAGGGACUCGAGUGCUUCCUGAGGUCGAGGAGGGAGGGCCUGCGUCCCGAUGAGUUUGGUUUGGGAAGCACCUUGUGAUGCUGCGCUGGAUUGAAGGAUGCAGGUUCUGGUCGCCAAAUCCAUGCCUUCGUGGUUAUCAAUGGGUUUGAGCAGGACAUGUGUGUUGGGAGCUCUCUAGCUCACAUGUACAUGAGAAGUGGUCGUCUUAGAGAAGGAGAAAGGGUUCUGAGAGGAUUGCCUUUCCUCAAUGUGGUCUCUUGCCAUACUGUGAUUGCAGGAAGAGCACAAAAUGGGGACCCUGAAGGGGCCUUCCACCAUUUCAUCCUCAUGAAGAAUGUCGGAUUGUUGCCAGACCAUGUAACCUUUAUUUCUUUAAUGGAGAAGUUAAUAUACAAUCUUUGACACCGAAAGCGAAGUUGCUAUUUUUAUGCCUCUGAAUCCAGGAAAUUAGAAGAACAGCAGCAACAGGAAGGUCCUGACUUCUCCCAUUACAAUUAGAGAUUACGUACAAUCUUGAAACCCCAUACGAGUUGAUGGAUUCGCCGGGUGCUGAUUGGAG